RNAcentral lists this ribosomal RNA (867 nucleotides) under Triticum aestivum (bread wheat). RNAcentral describes it as "partial small subunit ribosomal RNA". The record is from RNAcentral. Lineage: Eukaryota; Viridiplantae; Streptophyta; Magnoliopsida; Poales; Poaceae.
AUGGCGAAAUGCUGGCUGAUGCUCCUCUUCUUGGUGUUUCUCCUGCCGGCGACGAGCGCGACGUCGUGCCACGCCGACGACCUCCGCGCACUGCGGGACUUCGCCCGGAACCUCACCGGCGGUGGCGUCAUCCUCCGCGCAGCGUGGUCCGGCACCUGGUGUUGCAGAUGGGAAGGUGUGGGCUGCGACGGCAGAAGUGGACGCGUCACAACGCUGCGGCUUCCCGGACGCGGCCUUGCAGGACCCAUCGCUGGAGCAUCCUUGGCGGGCUUGGCGCGGCUAGAGGAGCUCAACCUUGCCAACAACAGACUGAUCGGCACAUUCCCAUCGUGGAUUGGUGAGCUUGAACACCUUCGUUACUUGGAUCUCUCAGAUAAUUCAUUAAUUGGCGAGGUACCCAAAAGUUUGAUACGGUUCAAGGACAUCACCAUCGCUGGUCGCUCACUGGGUAAGGCUUUCACUAACAUGCCAUUAUAUGUGAAGAGUAACAGAAGAACACUCCAACAACAACCUCAACCAAAUACAAUAUCUGGGACCAACAAUACCGUCAGAUCUGGGAGCACCAAUGUUGUUUCUGGGAAUGACAACACUGUCAUAUCCGGGAACAACAACAAUGUGUCCGGGAGUAACAACACUAUCGUAACCGGUAGUGACAAUACCGUAGUUGGAAGCAACCAUGUCGUAUCUGGGAACAAACAUGUCGUAACUGACAACAACAAUGCCGUAUCCGGAAACGACAAUAAUGUAUCCGGGAGCUUCCAUACCGUAUCCGGGAGCCGCAAUACUGUAUCUGGGAGCAACAAUACCGUAUCUGGAAGCAACCACGUCGUGUCUGGGAGCAACAAAGUCGUAACAGGAGAUGAAUGA